CAAUAGCGUAUAUUAAAGUUGUUGCAGUUAAAAAGCUCGUAGUUGGAUUUCUGGGAGCGUGCCAAUGUCCGCCUUGUGCGAGCGCAGCGGCGCGCUUCCAUCCUUCUGUUAACGCCUCUUGGCAUUCACUUGCUGGUGGCGGGCUCAGAUAUUUUACCUUGAGAAAAUUAGAGUGUUUCAGGCAGGCUAGGCCGGAAUACAUUAGCAUGGAAUAAUGGAAUAGGACUACGGUCUCUUUGUUGGUUUGAGGGACUGCAGUAAUGAUUAAUAGGGAUAGUUGGGGGCAUUAGUAUUUAAUUGUCAGAGGUGGAAUUCUCAGAUUUGUUAAAGACUAACUUAUGCGAAAGCAUUUGCCAAGGAUGUUUUCAUUAAUCAAGAACGAAAGUUAGGGGAUCAAAGAUGAUUAGAUACCGU
RNAcentral lists this ribosomal RNA (414 nucleotides) under uncultured eukaryote. Its description in RNAcentral is "SSU rRNA". It matches the Rfam family "Eukaryotic small subunit ribosomal RNA", at positions 592 to 1018 of the family's 1831-position model. The record is from RNAcentral.